RNAcentral lists this ribosomal RNA (427 nucleotides) under uncultured bacterium. RNAcentral's name for it is "bacterial SSU rRNA". It matches the Rfam family "Bacterial small subunit ribosomal RNA", at positions 355 to 774 of the family's 1533-position model. The record is from RNAcentral.
UGGGGAAUAUUGGACAAUGGGCGCAAGCCUGAUCCAGCCAUGCCGCGUGUGUGAAGAAGGCCUUCGGGUUGUAAACUGCUUUUGUACGGAACGAAAAGACUCCUUCUAAUAAAGGGGGUCCAUGACGGUACCGUAAGAAUAAGCACCGGCUAACUACGUGCCAGCAGCCGCGGUAAUACGUAGGGUGCAAGCGUUAAUCGGAAUUACUGGGCGUAAAGCGUGCGCAGGCGGUUAUGCAAGACAGAGGUGAAAUCCCCGGGCUCAACCUGGGAACUGCCUUUGUGACUGCAUAGCUAGAGUACGGCAGAGGGGGAUGGAAUUCCGCGUGUAGCAGUGAAAUGCGUAGAUAUGCGGAGGAACACCGAUGGCGAAGGCAAUCCCCUGGGCCUGUACUGACGCUCAUGCACGAAAGCGUGGGGAGCAAACA